GGGGAGUAUUGCAGCCGGCGUUUUAGAAGAAAUCCAGCGUGGGUGGUUAGAGGCUGUGGACCGAUGGGAGGUUACUGCAACGGGGGCGAGAGAUGGUGCGAGGUGCCCUCUAGAGCUCAGAGAGGAGGGAAGCAGCUGCCCUGGGGGCGGGGAGGCAGGGAUCAGGCUCUGGCAUUGCUAAGGUAGGGACAGGCAGGCUCUGGGGAGAUGGGCUGUGGGAUGUGCCUGGCUGGGGUGUGGAGGGGGGAGUUCAGGGGACAGCUCGGAGGAGAGGUCUGGGCACCAGGGUCAGGACCAGAAUCAUCAGAGAGGCGACAUUCAGCCACACAGGGGUUUGUGGGCGCCUCAGCACAGAUGAGGCCACUGAGAGAAAAUGGAGAGGAAAGGAGCCCAGAGGGAGGCGAGAGGCAGGAGGUGAACUUGGGGUGUGCACAGUGGGCUCAGCUGGGGAGUCUCCCCUAAAAGUGACAAUCACCCUUAGUCAAUGAGUCCGAGAGGUGACUCAGCUCUCGCGGACAGGAGGCGGGACCGGGAAUAACACUGGUUGGGCGCUAUCCAUGUGCAGACGCUGGCUUGGCAGUCCCGUACAAGCCCGGACUUAAGCAGGCUUCACAAGCCCUAGGAGGUGUUGCUAUUACGAACACGGUCCCCACAGCGCCUUUGGGGAAACCCAGGCACAGCAGGGCUGGGAUUAUUCCAGAACCUUCAGCAGAUACACAUGGGUUUGGCUGCACCUGGCGUCUGUGGCAGGGUCUGUUCUGAUUGGCGGAUGCUUGUCCUACUGGUUCUCCAGUGUUUUGAACAUCGCCCUGGCAACGCAGCUGGAAGGAAGGAGCAGAAUCCAAACCAGCCCACAGGGCUGGUGCCGAGCCCUGAACCACGGUCCUCUUUCCAUCUAGCGCGGCCACCGCCCAGCAGCAGCACACCUCGCGACAAGGAAUGCGUGUCACAGGGCUCGGAAGAAUGCAAAGCACAGUAUAAACACCAAGUUCGUUGACUCCUCCCAAGCAGAAGUGAGAGAAGCCCGUUUGAGGCCAAAGAAGCUGGGCCAUGAGAAGGCAGAGGAGACGCUGCUGUGGAGAAGCAGCAUUUUCUCUGCGUGCUCAACGGGGAAACUGAGCCAGAAGGGAAUCCUGCAUGAGUGGAGCCCCACGGUCGGCCCCUGGGAGGCUGCAACGUGCCAGCCACCACCAGGCACGAACCAGAUACUCUAGUACCAGCCAACACCAAGCAAGAAACUGAAGCCCUCAGCCCAGCAACCUGCACGGGACUGCAUUCUGUCAACAACCAACAAGCAUGGAAGAGGAUCUUUCCCCAGUCAAGCCUCAGAUGAGACCCCACCCUGGGCAACACCUUGAUUGCAGCCUUGAAGAGAACCUAGCUGAGCCGUGCCCAGACGCCUGUGAGAAAUUGUGAGAUGGUGACCGAUGGGUCCCAAAGGGCCUUCAGGCCAUGCUGGUCUCUGUGACCCCUUCAUCUCCUUGUCUCCACCCUGGGAAUGAUCGUCCAAUGGGGGCAACGCUGAGCAUGAGAAUCAUAAACCAUUGGUUUACGGGGAAGGGAUACAGUGCCCAUCUCGCGCCCGGAACUGAGCGAAGGAUUCAUUCCAAACGCUCGAACGUGCACGGGCUCUAGGCGUGUCCCAGUCAGAGCAGCUCCGCCAGGAGGGUGUUUCAUGGCUGCAGGGAAAUUCCAGAGCAGAUCCUGCCACUGCGAAAUGUGUUUGUCCUACAGGCGUUUGCGGAGGGUCGGCCUCCUGAGCAAUGGAGAUGGGAACCGGCUGGGUCUCCAAAGGACUAAGUGACCGGGAAAGUGCUCUGGGAACACGCAGGAGCGGCACCACAAUAAUAUAACCGUAGUCCCCAUGAUUGCCACUUCCUUCUGUUCUCUGCUCCAGUGCUCCCUUCCUGACCUGCAAAUCUGUCCCCACCGCUCCCUCUCCCUGGCCACCCGGCCUUACACUCUCCCUGGCGGCACCAUGGCUCACAGCACUGCUCUUGUCUAGCAGCUUCCUCUCCACAAGGCAGGGGCCAGGAGGGCAGGGAGUUGCUUUGCUCACUGCUGUGUCCUCGGUGCCUAGAGAACCUGCCCGAAUUUACUGAGCACUCACUAUGUGCCAGACGCUGUAUGAAGUGUUUCAAGUGGGUUAUCUAAUUUCGUCCGCAUGACAACCCUAUGCAGGAUUUUCCCAAAGCAGGAAAAGGAAGCCUCUCAAAGAGAAGUUGAGAGUCAGUUCAUAGUUGACCCUGACAGUCUUGACCCUCAACCACCUCUCGACUUGGCCAUGAGAACCACCCACCCAUCCCACCCACCCCCACACCCUCCCCGCUUGGGGGAAAACCACCCUGCCACAGCCUUGGGACGGGUGGGCCAACCCCAACCCCCGCCCGCCCGCCCCACCAGCCUGGCUCUGGUGUGUGGCGGUGCAGAGGGGCCCUGGUCCUGCAGGGACCCAGAACAUACAGUCAGCCCCAAUUUAGGAUUGCUCCACUUUGUCAUAGUGAGAAAGGGGUCCACAUUAGUAGAAACCAUACUUCAAAUUUUGAAUUUUGAUCUUUUCCCAGGGUAGCAAUAUGGGGUCCGACCCUCUGCAAUGCUGGGCAGCUCCCGGUCAGCCCUGAGAGCAGGAAGUGGCUUUACAGGGACGUGGCCCCACCGUAAGUCAAGAAGCAUCCGCACCGCUGGGAAGAGUUGUUUUUUAUUUUUUUCCUAAACUCCUCUUAUCUAAUAGCAGAGCUUCCCCAAAGAACUGAGCUGUCCUCCAUCCCCUCCCUGGGCGUUUUGCAACCAGGGCAGAUUGAGGAGAAGCCAGCACCAGGGUUCCCAAACGCUGAGCCUGAGAGGGUGGAGGAAAGUUCUUCCGUCCAGACAAUACCAAGCUCGAUCUGUCCAUGCCUCUGUUCCAGUGGGAGGGGACAUGCUGACCCCUGACCAGUUGUUGGUGGUCAGAAUGGAUUACUGCAAAUUUAUCUCCCAAAUGGUCCCUGGGCAUCUGAGGAUGCAGUGAUCUCUGUAACUGAGUUUCCUUUCCAAAAAGUUAACCUGCAUCCCAACAAGACUCCAGGAAAAGAAAGGGCCCACCAGGGAGGGUGCCGCCCAGAGUGCUGGGUCAGCUGGCCAUAGAGGGCAAGCAGCACUCACCCUGGGGGACUCGCUGUGGUCUGCAGUGCAGCCCCUAGCUCUGCCAGCCAGAGGGAAUUCCUUUCUGGGGGACCAACUCACACUAACCAAACUCACCAAGCACUGAGGAAGAAACCACAAUGCCAUCUUCCUAGCUUGCAAAGAGAAGCCACUGUCUGGAGGACAAGGUGCACAGGUUGGCAGAUUUGGACAGUCUCUCUUCAGGUGUCUGUCUGGCAGGAAACUACACUGCAGGGAGAACGAUGCUGGGUUGGGUCAAGGUUGGCCUGGGCUCUCUUGGUGGGUGUCAGUGGCCCAAAGCAAUGAGAAGGUCCAGAUAAAAUGGGAUGUCCAUGAGAAGAAAACCUCUGUGGGACAUAUACAUUGUUAGGAGAAAGCACAUAGCCUUCAGCUGAAAGUUUAUUUCAGAGCAUGACAUGUAAACACUGACACUCCUAGGACUGCUCUAGUGGGAGAGAGGGAAGCCCACGCCAGGGAGCUCUGACCUGCUGGAACUUCUCCCCGUGGCACUGAGGUGUCCCUGGCCCAUGACUGCCGGACUGCCUGACCCCUUAGCAAGGGAAGCAGACCUGGUUGGUUGCAGGAGGGUCCUAUACUAGGAGGGUGGCAUUUAUUACCAUGAGCUCAGGUCGGCUUGGGAAGACGAGGGUAGUCUCUGAAUAGACAGCGAUGAGGGUGCUCUAACACCUGGACUUGGUGACCACACAGAUAAAGUCCUCAACUAGAAGACCAAUCUAGGCCAGGCGCCGUGGCUCACACCUAUAAUCCUAGCACUUGGGAGGCCGAGGCGGGUGGAUUGCUCGAGGUCAGG
Non-coding RNA from Microcebus murinus (gray mouse lemur), 3952 nucleotides. Lineage: Eukaryota; Metazoa; Chordata; Mammalia; Primates; Cheirogaleidae. The record is from RefSeq and is a predicted model, not a curated record.